RNAcentral lists this long non-coding RNA (5445 nucleotides) under Triticum aestivum (bread wheat). RNAcentral describes it as "long non-coding RNA (TAES_LNC023376)". The record is from RNAcentral. Lineage: Eukaryota; Viridiplantae; Streptophyta; Magnoliopsida; Poales; Poaceae.
GUAGAGCCUGAUCUCGGUGUGGCUGGUUGGUUGUUCAGACUUGCGAGUAGGCACUCCAGCAGGCAGCAGUAAAUAAAAAAAGUGAGAGCUUUGUGUCUAAUCUGUUCCAAGUGUUGCAUUCCAAUCUUGGUCCAACUGGCAAGGACAAACAAAAAGUUGGAACUGAAUUUGACCUGAUCUGUGCCUUUUGAACCGAUAGUGAGACGCUAGCUCCAACUGCCUCGUACCGUGUAGUGUACUACUCCAAAAAGCUAAUGGUGUUCUGCUCGUAGUAGCUGGAAAUGAAAACAUAACUUUGGAUUUCCAAAAGGAGAAAAAAGGGCAAUUUGAAGUCAGUUUCAUGGGAUGUUUAGCUGACAAAUCUGUGCACUAACAAGUGAUUACACACUCAUCCUAGGCAAGAACGUAGCUUGCUAAGGUCCUGGUAUCUAAUGGUUCGACAGUUACUCAGGAGUGACGUGGUGGGGGAGUUCCGCGGGUGUGCUGUGUGAUUUGGAAGCGAACUAGAAGUAACUAGUCUUCAACCCAUGCUACUGCAUGGGCUAGUAAUUACCGAAAAUUUAUAAUAUUAUACAUAAAAUGUUUAAGUAAUUAUUUACUUUAUAUCCCGUCCAAAUCAGAAGUAUUGAUUAUUUUUACUACUUAUUUUCAUAGCGCAGAUAAUAUUAUAUUUCCUACGCCCUACACUUUAAAUAUUGUGGACAAUCAUAUACCUUUAAAUUUCAUAUGCUAGUGUCCUGCAUUAUGCACUGGAGAAGCACGGGAUGUUUUUGCCUAGUAGUAGCACUGGGUUUUUUCCUAGUAGUAGCACUGGGUUUUUUCCUAGUAGUAGCGCGGGCAUCGGCGCUACAGCUAAACUUUAGCAGUAGCGUUGGUCAGCCCGCGCUACUGCGAUGUAUGUUAGUAGUAGCAGGCACUACUGCUAAGUAAUAGCAGCGUGGUCUUCAACCCAUGCUAGUACUAUUCAUCUGUAUUUCAAUUCUUUUUAUUUUAUACUCUAUUUUACAUCUACUAAUCCAACUUUUGGCCACAUGAAUCUAAUCUGGGUUUCUUCCACCCAAUGAUGUAAUAACUCAUCAUGAUCAUAAUAAGUCAUCAUCAUCAUCAUAACAACUCAUCAUCAUAGUCAUAUAGGAACUAGCUCAUCAUUCUAGCACAAUGUAGCACAUAAUUCGUCAUCAUCAUCGUGAUAACAAAUCAUCAUUAUAGUCAUAUAGGAACUAGCUCAUCAUUCUAGCACAAUGUAGCACAAAACUCAUCAUCAUCAUGAUAACAAGCCAUCAUCGUAUUCAUAUGAGAACUAGCUCAUCAUUCUAGGACAAUGUAGCACAUAACUACCUAAGACCUGCUACUCUCUCGAAGGUAAGAUAGCAUAAAAUGGUUAAACCCCUGAAUCUCCAUUACGGAGAAUACAGAUGAACCUAUCUCUCAUUUGUGGGCUGCGCUUGAUGUUGCCCCCAAGUAGUUCCCUGCGAUCAUUCAGAACUUUUCUCCAGUCUUUGAUUGUGAGGACGUCAUCUCUUUGAUGAAUCGUGUAUGCACUGCGGUGACACGUAGGCCAACUUGGCUUUAAGCUAAUAAUGUUCAUGUCACCUUUCAUUUCCAUAAGACGAGGUACACAAUCCACCGGGAAUUUCUAUAGAAGAACAUCAUAAUGACAUACUUAGCAAAAUGUAUAGUUUACUUCAGAAGAAUGUAUGCAAAAGAUGCAUUGAUGAUAUAAUAGGAAAAUCUUACCAUGAUAUCUCGAUGGAUGUUACCGUAAUUCAACACGUGGACUAGUGGCACGUAUUGAUCAUAACUUGGAGGAAUAUGACAACUCAUCUUAAAAGUCUCAACAUCUUGAAUCCAUGAAACAAAAUGAUUUAUCUCCUCGCAAGUUAGCUCAGACCCAUAAGUGUAGUAGGUUUUCUCUACUACUUCCCGUACAUUUCUUGAAGAAUGGAAACUCACAUAGAGGUAGAAGUGGAAGCAUACCCUUUUAAGUGAACAAUAUAAAUUACUUAAUAAAUAUGUUUGAGAAACUAACAUAGAGGUAGAAGUGGAAGCAUAUCAACAUCGACCCAAAUGUUGAUAUUAUCUUCAUCGAUGUCAUCUUCAGGAUCACCAAGAUCGAAGGUCACAUGCAUACCCUCCUGAAAACCAUACGCCUUGCAUAUUUCUAUCCAAUUCGAGCAACCAAAAUGGGAGUAGGUCACCGCAUGUUGGAAACGUUGCAUGGAAAACAAAAAACAAUUCUACGCACACGCAAGAUCUAUCAAAGAAGAUGCAUAGCAAUGAGAUGGGAGAGCGUGUCUACGUACCCUCGUAGACCGUCAGCGGAAGUGUUUGAUAACACGGUUGAUGUAGUCAAACUUCUUCGCGCUCCAACCGAUCAAGUACCGAACGUACGACACCUCCGCAUUCUGCAGGCGUUCAGCUCGGUGACGUCCUCAGCCUUCUUGAUCCAGCAAGACAACGAGGUAGUGGAUGAGUUUCGACAACAUGACGGCAUGGUGACGGUGAUGGUGAAGCUAUAUCCACAGGGCUUCGCCUAAGCAGUACGACAAUAUGUCCGGGGUGUAAACGGUGGAUGGGGCGCCGCACAUGGAAAAACAUUUAUUUUCCUAUCUAAAACCGACUCUAACUUAUGUUCUAAAUAUAACGGUCCCGUCUAUUGUAGCACUCCACUAGUAGAAAUAGGGCCAAUUGUCCCGGUCCAUAAGGGCCUUUAGUCCCGGUUCUUACACGAAACGGGACUAAAGGCCGUCCACGUGGCCGCUGCCUGGAGGUCCACCUUUAGUCCCGGUUGGUAACACCAAGCGGUAUAAAGGAAGUUUUAUGAUUUUUUUGAAUUUUUUUCUUGAUUUUCAAAUUUUUGAAUUAUUUUAACCUCUGAUCUCUAAUCACCCCUCAUCACUACUCAAUUUAACCUCUAAUCUCUAAUCACCCCUCAUCAUUGUAAAUCAUCUAACUUCCCGGAGGGUCACCCAUCCUCUCACUACUCCAGCCUGAGCACGUUUAACUUCCGGGUUCUAUUAUCCCUCGUUUCCAAGCCUGUACUUAUUGUUUUCCUGACAAUAGUAAGAUGUCAAUCCUAUUAACCCUCAGGAAUUUAGCUUGAGCAUGAAGUCACACAUUUCACUGUUUGAGUUUGAAACUAUUGUUCUAAAAAACAAUAAUUAUUUAGUAACACUAAUAUUUCUUGAAUAAGUAGUUGGACCACAGUUUGACCAGAUUUGACCGAAAUUAAAAAAAACUGAAACAAUUAUUUAGCAACACUAAUAUUUCUUGAAUAAGUAGUUUGACCAUAGUUUGACCACAGUUUGACCAGAUUUGACCAAAUUUCAAAAAAAAACUGAAAUAAUUAUUUAGCAACACUAAUAUUCUUGAAUAAUUAUUUAGUAACACUAAUACUUCUUGAAUAAGUAGUUUGACCAGAUUUAACAAAAAUUCAAAAAAAACUGAAAUUUGAGCAUAACUUUUUUUCCUUUUAGAAUUUGAGGAUUCUAAAAAUUUGCAAACAAGCCGUAGGCCGUCAAAAUUGGAUCCGGAUUUUCGUGCUGAAUAUUUUGAUAUAUUAUACGUUUUUUCUGACAUCGUAUGCAAAAGUUAUAGCUGUUUUAUAUUUUUCCUACACUUUUUGCAAAACAUGUCCAAAUUUAAGUUUUUAAAUUUUCCUAACUAGUAGAUGUAGUAACAUAACUACAUCUCGAAGGAUUUUCAUUUUUAAAGUUUUUAUCAUUUCUUUUGCUUUUUACAAAACUGAAAAGGCGAUCCACAGGACGGCAGGGGGGGGGGGUUAGAGUUUGAAAAUGAGACCUUUAGUACCUGUUCGUGCCAUGAACCGAUACUAAUGCUUCAAACCCCUGGGACUAAUACCUGUACGGUGCCCUAGCCGUUUGAACCGGGACUAAUGCUCACAUUAGUCCCGGUUCGUAAUGCAACCGGGAUUAAUGCUCUUUUCUGGCCGAAUCAAAGCCCUGUUUUCUACAAGUGUCGUCUAAAAUACACUGCUCGGCUGCGCGCCUGGGCCAAGUAUCUCGGUCUAUCGAGCUGGCCCGGUCAAAACCAGGACCAGACCGACUUAUUUUCGGGCCUGUUUCUGCAGACCGGACCGACCAUUUUUAUCAGCGGGCCAGGACCGUUCGGUCCGAUCCGUUGCGGGCCACGAGCCGGGCCAAAAGCCCGCUCGCCACGUCCAGGCCGAGUCUUGUGUAUCGUUGUACAUUUCAAAGCAGCAAGCAAGGAUCGGAGUACCCAAAUACUGUAGCAGCCUAGACGUUCCCCAAAUACAGUAUAAACUAGUGAACUUAUGAGGAAAUUUCCUUGGACCACUUUCAGUGACCAGCACCCACCGCUUUCCUUGACGUGAUCCGCCCGUCCCCCAUUGCGUCACACGCCUAUCUCCGCAAAGUCACACUCCCAACCCUCUAAAGGCUUGAGUGCUCUACCCACAGCCAUUACCACGCCUCGCACAAUUGUCGCCAGGCGAGACAAGGACAGCUAGCAAGAGAGCAAGGCGAUGUCAAUGGCGGACGAGCAAUACGACGCUGGGCCGCGUGGGGCGCCGCAUGGGCUGCUGUUGGCGGUGGUGGUGGGGCUGCUGGUUGGGUGGCCGCUUUUCCUAAGUGACGGCGCUGAGGCGGUCACCGAUGCCAUCGCCGGGCUGCUUGGCCCCGUGGGCCUGCUCCUCCUCCCGGUGGGGCUCCUCCUCCUCAUCCACCUCCUCUCCUGCGACCGCUCCCCCGACGUGUUCGAGUUUGCCGGCUCGCCCGACGCCGUGCACCACGUCGGGGGAUCACCCGUCGGCGUGGCGCUGAUGCUGGUCCUCAUGCUUGCCCUCCUCUACUACCGGUCCGCACUCUUCGGUGGCGGCGGAGGCGACGACGAGUAGGCGCCUAGGCGCUCGCCAGUAGGUACUAGGUAGAGCCUGAUCUCGGUGUGGCUGGUUGGUUGUUCAGACUUGCGAGUAGGCACUCCAGCAGGCAGCAGUAAAUAAAAAAAGUGAGAGCUUUGCGUCUAAUCUGUUCCAAGUGUUGCAUUCCAAUUUUGGUCCAACAGGCAAGGACAAACAAAAAGUUGGAACUGAAUUUGACCUGAUCUGUGCCUUUUGAACCGAUAGUGAGACGCUAGCUCCAACUGCCUCGUACCGUGUAGUGUACUACUCCAAAAAGCUAAUGGUGUUCUGCUCGUAGUAGCUGAAAAUGAAAACAUAACUUUGGAUUUCCAAAAGGAGAAAAAAGGGCAAUUUGAAGUCAGUUUCAUGGGAUGUUUAGCUGACAAAUCUGUGCACUAACAAGUGAUUACACACUCAUCCUAGGCAAGAACGUAGCUUGCUAAGGUCCUGGUAUCUAAUGGUUCCACAGUUACUCAGGAGUGACGUGGUGGGGGAGUUCCGCGGGUGUGCUGUGUGAUUUGGAAGCGAACUAGAAGUAACUAGUCUUCAACCCAUGCUACUGCACG